Long non-coding RNA from Mytilus californianus (California mussel), 3852 nucleotides. RefSeq lists it as uncharacterized. The record is from RefSeq and is a predicted model, not a curated record. NCBI's taxonomy places the organism in Eukaryota, Metazoa, Mollusca, Bivalvia, Mytilida, Mytilidae. The transcript is spliced from 2 exons.
GACAAAUCAUACCACAUUGAGAGAUAAGACAUUUUUACAAUUAAAUCUAGUAAAGUGAAAAAUUUGAGACAGUUAAAUGGGGAGGAAAAAGUAUCUUGUCUUAGGGAGGGAUAACGAGGAUAAGGAUAUAUCAUAUUUUUCUACCAAGUAUCAUCAGUGACGUGCUGGACAUCAGAUCAAUGUAUCAUAUGACAUAUUUUUUGUCAGUAUGCAUGUUCAAAAUGUCUACAAAAUCAUUCAUAUAAUAUUUGGGAUUGUCUGCUACAGUAGAAUGGUCUUUAGCAACAUCGGAAAAGUUUGACAAUUGUCCGGUAGGUCAGCAAAGAAUUGAACGUCAGAGGGAUUUAUGCGACAAUGCAACAUUGUACCAUUGCAUUUCUGAUGCUAACUGUCAACUUCAUCAAUUUUGUGCUGAUCCACAAGAAUCACAACCAAUGGACACACUCUUUAUAUUCAGUGGUUCGACACGUAAUGAACCUAUAGUGAAUUUUCCAUCCACGAAUACGGAGUUGUAUGGGGAUUUAAGCUUGUUCUUCUGCAAGUACUCUUCAAGGAAAACUUUAAACGAAUUAUUUCAAACCAUCCUUAAACGACUAGAUACUAAUGCUAAUAUAAUUAAUUCAUUCAAAGUACCUUGCAUAUUUCCUGACGAUGAACAUGUACUACCUACAUUGGAUAGUUGUGAGAUGAAAUUUAAAUGCGGUAAAACCAGAAAAGUGAUGGACUUCAAACUAUUAGUAUUUCACAAUAGAAAAUUGAUAUCCCACGGUUUUGAAAUGGGUAUGUCAAAUCGAAAGGAUUUUUAUAAAGUAGGGUUUUUACUAUGUGUUUUGAAUAAUGAGAAAUUUUAUGAUUACAUAUUGGAAUUAGAAAGCAGCCCUCCAAACAAAGGCUCUGUCACGAAUGGUCCAAGUGAUGAACUGUCUCUCUAUGGAAUAAUCGCUGGUUUCCUUGUGCAUUUAAUUUUAUGAGAGAGACAACUAAAUAUCACAACUUUAAACAAUAAACAUUACAUAUAUAAACACAACUAUUUUUUUUCAUGUUCUCUUUUCGCAUGCGUGACAACGACUCUCUCCUAAAAUCAAAAGUCUUUCAUUUCUGUUGUUUAAAACUUUGCUGAAGCAUUUGGUGUAAAUAUUUAAUUGGUGCGGAUUUGUAUUUAUUUGACUAAAUGUUUAAAUAAUUUAUUUGUAAAUGUUAUGGAAAUUUGGGUUUUUUCAGGUUCUGCUGAAAAAUAAGUUUUGAUUAAUACGGCAACAUCUUGGAAUGCAAAUUAGUAAUUUAUUUAUUUUAUUGAUAUAAUUGAUAUAAUUAAGUAUGAUGGUGAAUAAGUAUUGUGACGCAGCAUUUAUAUAUUAAUUUAUUUGAGAAGUUGAGAUCUUUUUACACAUUUAUAAUUGUUUACUAUUGUAGUAUGUGUAUAUUUUAUACAUUAUAACUUAUUAUAUUCAGUAUAUGACUAUUUAGGCUAUGAUAACUCUCCGUGGAGAAAGAUCAACAUUACUGCAUUCUUUUACUUUUACAUUUUAUAUUUAUUUAAAAAGUUUUCUGUCGGUUAAUUGCUGUAAUUUCUCAAAGUUUUGUUGAGUGUAAAAAUUAAUGUCAACUUAUAAUACUGAAGUUAUAUUGCUUAUUUUAGUUUACAUAUUGUACAAUAUAUUAUAACGUUUUAGAUAGUCUUUCAUACACAUGCAACUCUUUUUAGAGUAGCUUUUGUAUGUUUUAUGAUUAUGUUUUAUUAAAUAUUGGUAUGUUUUUAAAAAAAGUAUUGUUUUAGCUUGUGUUGAUAAUAAUAAAAUCAAUUCUGGUGCUAAAAUUAUUAAAUCUGUGUGUAGACGAACAAGUUGUUAAAUGGAUAUUCAGCUAUUAAUGUAGAUCAAGUAGUGUUUUUCGGGGCGCAUUGCAUUUGCGCCAUUUAAAAAAAAAAAUCCAAUCUUUCAUUAGCACCACAAGGUUAUAUUUCAUUUGCGCCAAAAUAUAAAAACUGCAUUUGCGCCAUUUCACAGGUAAUGCAGGUACAUGUAACAUAUAACGGAAAAGUUAAAUAAUCAUUGCUGUAUCGUGAAUAAGAUUUGUUUCUACAGUAUUUCUCCUGGACUAUUGUUCAAACUCAUUUCUAAUACAAAACUGAGGUUUAGAAUUAUAAAGUGUUCACAUGUUUGAGGUGUAUGGACAUUGUCAUGUCAGAGACAAACAGAGGAAAUAAGUCUGUAUUUUUUAUGAUCACCCGUACGGUUAUGACGGUAUAAAGCUUAUCAUAUAUAUAUGCAUCAUAUAAAAAAUAGUUUAGGUGUACCAUAAAACUUGCAAAGCCAGCAUAACAACGGACAGAAAUAUAGUUUUACUAUAGCUAUAGUGUAUAAUGCUUAGAACUGCAUGUCUCGUAAUUUUACUCCUUUUUAGAUAUGUUCAAAGUAACUGAACUGUGUUUUAACUAAGUUUUAACAUAACUUGUAUGGUUUUAUGAUGACUGAUUUCUGAGGAAUAUGCUUUAUAACGCAAAAAAGCCUUUAUACAAUUUACCUGUAUUAUUGGCGCGAAUGAAAGUUUAUAUUUUUGGCGCAAAUGAAAUAUGGUUUGUGGCGCAAAUGAAAUAUUUUUUUUGCGCAAAUGAAAUGCCAAUCGGCGCAAAAGCAAAGUACCGGUUUUUCGCUAUCUUUGAUUAUAAAAGAACAGAACACAAUCUGUAUUUAAAUGGUAAAAGUAAAAAUUUAGAGAUAAGAAUAUAAUUGGCCUGUAAUACUGUUGAAGAAAGUUGUUAGUUAUAUGUAAUUUUUUCUGUUUUUUUUCUCACAAAUACUGAUGCAAUUUUCUUUCCAUUAUUUUUUUUAACUUUGCAAUACUUUGCUUUUUUAUUAUCUCUGUCCUGCCUUUUUUCACUCUAUUCGGUCCAGCCUUUUUUGACAAGUUUAUCCUGAUUUGUUUUACAUAGAUUGUUAUUCUGCUUUUUUUUUUGCAAAGUAUCACAUCCUGACUUUGUUUUACUCAAAACUCCUGUCCUGCUUUUUUUCAAAUUUCAUCGUAGUCCAUCCUUUCCCCCAUAUUGAUAAAACGGUAACUCCCUUACAUAUUCUGACAUCGGACACGGACUUCUCUUAAACUGAGUUUAACUGUGCGUAUUGCAGUUUUUUUCUACAUUGGUUAUAGGUAUAGGGGAUGGAGUGAGAUCUUAUUAAACAUGUUUAACCCUGCUGCAUUUUUGCGCCUGUCCCAAGUCAGGAGCCUCUGUCCUUUCUUAGUCUUGUAUGCUUGUUUUUAAAAUUUAGUUCAUUUACAUGUUUUGAAGCUUUUAAAUAUGACAUCCAUUUUCACUGAUGAACUAGUACACAUUUUUGUUUAGGGACCAGGUGAAGUUCGCCUACGGAUACGGGAUUUUCUGGCUGUGUUUAAGACCAAUUUGUGGCCUUCAUUUUUUAACUCUAUGUUUCGGUUUUGUCUCUAACACAUGUCCGUUUCCAUUCUCAAUUUUAUACUAAAAAUAUAAAGAUUACGGCAAUGAAGAAGACCCCUUCCAAACCCUCAUAAAUACAAAAACUGUUUAAGUAGAUACAAACAUUUUAUUUGUCUCAAUAUGAUGUUAUGAAAUAAAUAUUUUAGAAAAAAAUGUUUUAGCAUGAAGUGCUGACAACCGGGAAGAAAUUGAAGAAAAAUUAUAUUUCUUUUCAGUUUGUCCAUUCCAUGUCUUAUUGAGAGAUACGUUUUAAUUUUUUUUAAAUAAAACAUAUUCUAAUUAUAUUAAGUUGCAUUCACUUAUAUCAUUACUCACAGCAUAAGUAUGUUCAUAUUAUUGAGCUUCAGUUCGUCAGUCAUAUAUAUGUAAAUCGCUUCAUUAAUAAAACAUGUCUUUAUAAA